This is a non-coding RNA of Aegilops tauschii subsp. strangulata, 1678 nucleotides long. The record is from RefSeq and is a predicted model, not a curated record. NCBI's taxonomy places the organism in Eukaryota, Viridiplantae, Streptophyta, Magnoliopsida, Poales, Poaceae.
CGUACACAGCGAAGAUAAGAUUAUCAGAUUGAUUGACUUGAUUAAAUCUAACCAUCUAGAUUAUACUUUUUUUUGAACUGGUCUAGAUUAUACUAAUCCCGAGUCAAAUGUGCGCAUAGCAAUUACCUGGAGCGGAAAACGCUCUGCCGGCAGAGAAAAGCGGCCGCGACUCUCGGCGCAAAACUUCCCAUGUAAAAAAAAACUCCCCCAUCUGCCCACAACAGAAAAGCCAAAACAAAUCUCACGCCCGCGCCGCCGUUCGCCUGCCCCUGCCGCCCUACCCGCGCCGUCAUUCACGCCUCCCUGGACUGGCGCGUCUCCCCUCCACGCGUGGCCUGCAGCGUUGGGCCAAUUGCCGAACCGCAGCGAACGGCCGCAGAGAGGAACGAGAGGAGGAGAGGGAGAGAGGCGUGGCUCGCCGGCCGGCGGAGGCACGAGACCUCCUCACUGGCGGCAGGAGGAGAGGGUGAGAGACGUGGCGAAUGGGUACGGCUCGCCGGCCGGCUGAGGCGUGAGAUCGGCGACGAACGUGAGCCCUUAAGUUCUGCAGCUUGGCCGUGAACGUGCCGCGCAUGCUGCGUCAAGUCGGUGGCGGCGGCGCGUUCCACCCACUCAGCUCGAACGGCAGAUGCCCAGCACCACCGCGAGGGUUGAAGGCGUGUUCCAUCUCAUUGUCGUUGUCGCAAUGGGCCGGCAGCAAGCCACCGAAUGAUCUAUCAGCGAAGACGCUAGGAGUCUCAGCUGCAGAAGGAUGCACAUCCUCACAAGGGGAGGUCCUCGAGUUCCAAAGACAAGGGCAGAGGACGCGAUGAGGACAAGGACAGAGGUCGCUACAGGCGCCGUGGGGAAGACAGGGUGUGGCACCGGGACAGGGAGAGUGUCUGUGUAACCAUGACUGCGGUGGUCGGGACAGGGCCAGUGAUCGCCACCAUCGUGAGCACCGUGAGAGGGGUGAAAUAAGGGAGCACUGUGACCGUUUCGAUGAUCGUGACCAUCGCCGGAGCCGUGAUCAUGAUGCUGAAAGGGAACAAUGAUGAAUUCUAUGGAGGAUGCUCAUGGAAGGAAAGGCUCUACUGUCUCAACAAGGAUGGAAAGCAUAACAACAUACACAAACCAACGUGGAGAACCCAAAUCUGGACAGAUGAGACCUGGAAGAUACACCAGAAACUGAAGAAAAAGUUCUCAAAAGUGCGGAAGACGAUAUAGAGGCUGGCGAUCAACUCUAAGCUCCACUUACAAGGCAUACAAAACAGAUGCAGCUAGAUUGGCUAAUCUGCUAGAAGAUUUACAGCCAGAAGAGUGGGAAUGGAUGAUUGAGUACUUUGGCACUGAUUCAGAAUUUCAGGAAUGCAGCCAAAAGAACACCGAUAGUCGUAAGAAAUAGAAGACAAACACAUAUUUGGAUCAAAAUCUUACUCGCAACUAAGUUUUGAGAAGAGAAACUUGGAAACUGGAGAAGAGCCAAAUUGUAUUGCUCUGUGUGAACUCACCCACACGAAGAAUGGAACAUGGCCUGGCACAGAGUCCCAGAAUGUUUACGUGAGUACACUGACUUUUGGUUAUUCUAUAGUUAUUCAACAAUGUGCAUUCGGCAUGCUUCUGCAUCAGCUGGGAUUAUUCAUGCGUUGGAUCGUGUUAUUCUUGUUUCAUCUUUUAUAGUGUCAAUAUUGAUGCCGCA